CAGAGAUUUCCGAAUGGGGAAACCCAGCAUGAGUUAUGUCAUGUUAUCGAUAUGUGAAUACAUAGCAUAUCAGAAGGCACACCCGGAGAACUGAAACAUCUUAGUACCCGGAGGAAGAGAAAGAAAAUUCGAUUCCCUUAGUAGCGGCGAGCGAAACGGGAAGAGCCCAAACCAACAAGCUUGCUUGUUGGGGUUGUAGGACACUCUAUACGGAGUUACAAAGGACGACAUUAGACGAAUCAUCUGGAAAGAUGAAUCAAAGAAGGUAAUAAUCCUGUAGUCGAAAAUGUUGUCUCUCUUGAGUGGAUCCUGAGUACGACGGAGCACGUGAAAUUCCGUCGGAAUCUGGGAGGACCAUCUCCUAAGGCUAAAUACUCUCUAGUGACCGAUAGUGAACCAGUACCGUGAGGGAAAGGUGAAAAGCACCCCGGAAGGGGAGUGAAAUAGAACCUGAAACCGUGUGCUUACAAGUAGUCAGAGCCCGUUAAUGGGUGAUGGCGUGCCUUUUGUAGAAUGAACCGGCGAGUUACGAUUUGAUGCAAGGUUAAGCAGUAAAUGUGGAGCCGUAGCGAAAGCGAGUCUGAAUAGGGCGUUUAGUAUUUGGUCGUAGACCCGAAACCAGGUGAUCUACCCUUGGUCAGGUUGAAGUUCAGGUAACACUGAAUGGAGGACCGAACCGACUUACGUUGAAAAGUGAGCGGAUGAACUGAGGGUAGCGGAGAAAUUCCAAUCGAACCUGGAGAUAGCUGGUUCUCUCCGAAAUAGCUUUAGGGCUAGCCUCAAGUGAUGAUUAUUGGAGGUAGAGCACUGUUUGGACGAGGGGCCCCUCUCGGGUUACCGAAUUCAGACAAACUCCGAAUGCCAAUUAAUUUAACUUGGGAGUCAGAACAUGGGUGAUAAGGUCCGUGUUCGAAAGGGAAACAG
This 924-nucleotide ribosomal RNA is filed under the name Staphylococcus aureus. RNAcentral describes it as "partial 23S ribosomal RNA". It matches the Rfam family "Bacterial large subunit ribosomal RNA", at positions 105 to 1025 of the family's 2925-position model. Lineage: Bacteria; Bacillati; Bacillota; Bacilli; Caryophanales; Staphylococcaceae. The record is from RNAcentral.